This 230-nucleotide ribosomal RNA is filed under the name uncultured bacterium. Its description in RNAcentral is "partial 16S ribosomal RNA". It matches the Rfam family "Bacterial small subunit ribosomal RNA", at positions 567 to 791 of the family's 1533-position model. The record is from RNAcentral.
AAGACGUGCGCAGGCGGUUUUGUAAGACUGUCGUGAAAUCCCCGGGCUCAACCUGGGAAUGGCGAUGGUGACUGCAAGGCUAGAGUUUGGCAGAGGGGGGUAGAAUUCCACGUGUAGCAGUGAAAUGCGUAGAUAUGUGGAGGAACACCGAUGGCGAAGGCAGCCCCCUGGGUCAAAACUGACGCUCAUGCACGAAAGCGUGGGGAGCAAACAGGAUUAGAUACCCUAGU